AUGUACCGGCGUCCACUGCGGUUGUGAGCCGCGCCGUCCGCGCCCCCUGACAGCUGCGCGCGACGUUGUGUUAGCC
RNAcentral lists this small RNA (76 nucleotides) under Xanthomonas oryzae pv. oryzicola. RNAcentral describes it as "sX9 sRNA". It matches the Rfam family "Xanthomonas sRNA sX9". The record is from RNAcentral. Lineage: Bacteria; Pseudomonadati; Pseudomonadota; Gammaproteobacteria; Lysobacterales; Lysobacteraceae.